Non-coding RNA from Triticum aestivum (bread wheat), 106 nucleotides. The record is from Rfam. Lineage: Eukaryota; Viridiplantae; Streptophyta; Magnoliopsida; Poales; Poaceae.
AUUGUACUCCCUCCGUUCGGAAUUACUUGUCACGGAAAUGGAUGUAUCUAUACGUCUAGAUACAUCCAUUUCCGCGACAAGUAAUUCCGAACGGAGGGAGUAGCUC